GCCUUCGUGGUCUAAUGGUUAUGACGCUCGCCUUGUAAGCGAGAGGUUGCAGGUUCGAAUCCCGUCGGAGGCA
This 73-nucleotide transfer RNA is filed under the name Anneissia japonica. RNAcentral's name for it is "tRNA-Thr". It matches the Rfam family "tRNA". Rfam says of the family: Transfer RNA (tRNA) molecules are approximately 80 nucleotides in length. Their secondary structure includes four short double-helical elements and three loops (D, anti-codon, and T loops). The record is from RNAcentral. Lineage: Eukaryota; Metazoa; Echinodermata; Crinoidea; Comatulida; Comatulidae.